Long non-coding RNA from Octopus sinensis (East Asian common octopus), 2172 nucleotides. RefSeq lists it as uncharacterized. The transcript has 2 exons. The record is from RefSeq and is a predicted model, not a curated record. Lineage: Eukaryota; Metazoa; Mollusca; Cephalopoda; Octopoda; Octopodidae.
AGUUCAAAUUCUGCCAGGUCCACUUUGCCUUUCAUCAUUUUUAGGGGUCAAUAAAAUAAAUACAAGUUGAACAGUUGGGUUGAUGUAACUGACUUACUCCUCCCCCAAGAUUGCUGCCCUUUGCCAAAAUUUGAAAUCAAUAUUAUUGUUAUUCUGAGGAUGUUAGAAUGUCAGAAUUGGUAUAGUGUUGAACAACAUGCCUUUUGUUGUUUUUUUAGCCUUCCUUUUUCAUUUUCAAUUAAUAUCUGACCAAUGUUGACUUCACUUUUCAUUAUUCUCAAGUCAGUACCAGCCAGUCAACAGACAAUAAUCCUACCAAAUUUUGCCUGUUAGAAAUCAUUACUUUUAGCAUUAUCAAAUCACUGGAAACUGGGUCAUCGGUUUCAUUUUGAUCUAUAUUUCAUUCAAGCUUCUUUAACAUUAGUUAAGGUAAAAAUAGUUCCCUCACCCAAUCUCUUCUUUGCCUUUCUCUCACUUUUUUCUGCAAAGGAAAGAUGUCAACCACUUCAAUUAAGGAGAGUUUUUAUAUGUGUUGGUACAUUUCACAUAUAAGCUUUAUGCAUGCAAUUGUAUUUAGACAUGUGUUUAUUGAGCUGUCAUGAAAGAAUAUAUAUUGCUCUCUAAAUAUCGAAACUUGUACAGCUGAGAAUUAUAAUUGGGAUAAUCUUAGAUAUACACCUAUCCAUAUAUUCAGAAGAAAUGUUUUACCCAAUGUUAACCAAAAAAAUUAACAAAUGAAAAACAAGACACAAAUUCUCUUCUAUAUACACAGAUGCAGCCAUGGCUGUAUGGUUAAGAAGUUUGCUUUGCUACUAUGUGGUUUCAGGUUCAAUCUCACUGCAUGGCACUUUGAGCAAGUGCUUUCUACUAUAAGCGCUAAGCCAACCAACACCUUGCAAAUGAAUUUGAUUGAUGGAGACUGUACAAAGCCUGCCAUAUAACACACACACACACAUGCACACACACAUUUAUAGAAUAGUUAGCAACAGGAAGGGCAUCCAUCUCUAAAACAACAUCUCAAUAAUUUAUUUCUUGAACCAUGUUAACAUGGAACAAUAUAUAUAAAAUAAAUGAGUGGUCAAGAGGUUAGGGUUCCUGGCUUUCGGCAAGGCAGCCUGGAUUUGAUACCCACCACAUAAACACUAUUAGCAUUUAAUAGAAGUGUCCCAGCAUGGUCACUAUCUCUGGCUGAAAGAAGUUAAAGUCAUGAUUGACUGAUCAGCAUUUGAAUGUAUCUUAGACAAAUAACUAUUGUUUUAGCCAAAUACCCUAUUAUAGACACUAUAUUAUAACUACUGAUAUAUGGUAACUAGUGACAGAAUCACUAGAGCAUUGUACAUAAUGCUUUGCAGUAUUUACUUCCAUCUCUUCACUUUCUAGAUUCAAAUUCUUACUGAUAGUCAACAGAAUAAAUGCCAACUGUUCUCAUACCCUAAUAACUGUAACCUUAUUCCCUUGUUAGUAAUUAUUAUUAUAACCCAAAAUCAAGAUGGCGAGCUAGCAGAACUAUCAGUGGGUUGGACAAAAUACUUAGUGGCAUUUUUCCUGACUCCUUAUGUUUUGAGUUUCAAUCCUGUCAUGGUCAACUUUGCAAUUCCUCUUUUCAGGGUCAAUAAGAUAAAGUAUGAAUCAAGUGCUGGAGUCAAUGUAAUCAAAUUACCCCCUCUCCUGGCCUUAGUCCAAAAUUAAAAAGAAUUAUUAUAAAGAGAAAUAUCUGAAAGUAACUGUGUUUGUGUACACCCAUGUGUGAAUGUAUUUCUCUAUAUGUUUGGUCAGAAUGGGAAUAUAUUUUAUACUGCUAAACUAUGAAAACCACCAAUAUCUCAAGUAAAUUAGGGACUAUACACUUGUUUGUUUAACAUGCUAGAAAUAGUAGCUGAAUUUCAUUCAUCAUACCCUUACCAUCUUAAAAAAUGUAAGGACACAUUGAUUAGUUUCUAAAGACAAUGUGUUGUGUGUGUAAAUAUAUUUUUUUGAUAUUUGGUAAAUAUUAUAAUAUUUUAUAUUAUAUACACUUAUCGCCAACAAUAUCAGGACAAUAUUGUGUUGUUAUGUACUCAUGUGUGUGAAUAUAUUUCUUGAUAUAUGAUAAAAAUGAUAACAAAUGAGAUUAUUCUAUAUCGUGCUUAGGUACACUACAACUCACAGGAAAAAGGGUAUAAGGGGGGAUAG